GUUUUUUUUAUCCAUUCCCUCUGAUUUUUUUUUCAUCCAUUGCAAUUAUAUCUUUUUUUAUCAGUUCCCUCAUAUUUUGUAUUAAUUCCCUCAGGUUUUUAAUUCCCUCAAUUUUAAUAAUCCUCGGAAUAUGCGUGUUUUUCCAUUCAUUGUGUCUGCACCCCUUUGCCAGAAAUUACGCUGCUGAUGGAACCAUAGUCUGAGAUCAAUUCAAAUAGAUUGACUGCAGUGCCGUCGAGGGCAUAACGGAUGCUCAACUCACACAAUACGUGCCCAGAUUUGGUGAUCUUAAGGCAGUACUGCAAAAGAGAAGUGGCCGCUCUCCAAGGAUCAAGUGUAUCCAAAGCUGCAGAGAGGGAUAUAGAACAUUUUAAACACUGAAAGAAAAGUAAUGAGAAGUCAGCAAAACUUUGGAAAUGCCAACGAUUAGAAAACAGAAUGUACUUUCCAAAUUGUAUGGCUGGAACAAGUUGGUGUCAACUCAUUCUGCCAAGUCACAGAUAAAGAAAGGUGGUGAGACAAGACAAUUAAAGGCAGCAAAGAUGGUUACAAUGGCAGAGCUGUUGGAGGUGCAGAUGUCCUUGUGUCUUCAGCCAUUCACGUCUACUUUGUUGAGCCCAAGAGUGACUUUGUGAGAAGCCCCCAUCACACACCUGCGGAUGUGUUUUGGAGAUCCCCCAACACCUACACAUCAUACCUUGAGAUGCCAGAGGAAUUCACCCAGGUCCUGGAUUCCAAAGUGUGGGUGAUGGACAUCAUUUAAAUGUAAGUGAUACAUUUUCUCACACACACACAAUGAACUUUCUCAAAUCAAUCAUGUAGCAUUAGUAGUUGAAUUGUCAAAAGUUACCAGGGAGGAUGAUAGUUGCGUUAGAGGGGAGCGGUAUAAAUGUAUCUGUCUUGUUCCACCAGGCUACCUGACCCAAUUAUGUUGACAACACAUUAAACAACUACAUUCACAA
Salvelinus fontinalis (brook trout) is the source of this 962-nucleotide long non-coding RNA. RefSeq lists it as uncharacterized. The record is from RefSeq and is a predicted model, not a curated record. The transcript has 3 exons. Lineage: Eukaryota; Metazoa; Chordata; Actinopteri; Salmoniformes; Salmonidae.